RNAcentral lists this ribosomal RNA (468 nucleotides) under uncultured Comamonadaceae bacterium. Its description in RNAcentral is "bacterial SSU rRNA". It matches the Rfam family "Bacterial small subunit ribosomal RNA", at positions 335 to 795 of the family's 1533-position model. Lineage: Bacteria; Pseudomonadati; Pseudomonadota; Betaproteobacteria; Burkholderiales; Comamonadaceae. The record is from RNAcentral.
UUUCCUACGGGUGGCUGCAGUGGGGAAUUUUGGACAAUGGGCGCAAGCCUGAUCCAGCAAUGCCGCGUGUGUGAAGAAGGCCUUCGGGUUGUAAAGCACUUUUGUCCGGAAAGAAAUCCGUCUGGCUAAUACCCGGACGGGAUGACGGUACCGGAAGAAUAAGCACCGGCUAACUACGUGCCAGCAGCCGCGGUAAUACGUAGGGUGCGAGCGUUAAUCGGAAUUACUGGGCGUAAAGCGUGCGCAGGCGGCUUUGUAAGACAGAUGUGCAAUCCCCGGGCUCAACCUGGGAACUGCAUUUGUGACUGCAAGGCUAGAGUGCGUCAGAGGGAGGUGGAAUUCCGCGUGUAGCAGUGAAAUGCGUAGAGAUGCGGAGGAACACCGAUGGCGAAGGCAGCCUCCUGGGAUGACACUGACGCUCAUGCACGAAAGCGUGGGGAGCAAACAGGAUUAGAUACCCCAGUAGUC